CAAACGGCCUUUCUCAAGGCCGCAGAAAUCUGAAAACAGUUGUCGU
Molecule: non-coding RNA, 46 nt
Organism: Ixodes scapularis (black-legged tick)
Lineage: Eukaryota; Metazoa; Arthropoda; Arachnida; Ixodida; Ixodidae
Source: Rfam